Molossus molossus (Pallas's mastiff bat) is the source of this 108-nucleotide small nuclear RNA. The record is from RefSeq and is a predicted model, not a curated record. NCBI's taxonomy places the organism in Eukaryota, Metazoa, Chordata, Mammalia, Chiroptera, Molossidae.
GCACUCGCUUUGGUAGUACAUAUACUAAAAAUGAAACAGUAAAGAGAAGAUUAGCGUGCACACUAUGAAAAGGAUGAAAUGCACAUUUGUGACGUUUUCCACAUAUUU